GCUUAGGACACUUGGGGCCCCUGGUUGGCUCAGUUGGUAGAGCCUGCAACUCUUGAUCUUGGCGUUGGAAGUUAAAGCCCCACGUUGGAUUUAGAGGUUACUUAAAAAUAAUAUUGUAAGAAAA
This is a long non-coding RNA of Mustela erminea (ermine), 124 nucleotides long. RefSeq lists it as uncharacterized. Lineage: Eukaryota; Metazoa; Chordata; Mammalia; Carnivora; Mustelidae. The transcript is spliced from 3 exons. The record is from RefSeq and is a predicted model, not a curated record.